This 1002-nucleotide unclassified non-coding RNA is filed under the name Rasamsonia piperina. Its description in RNAcentral is "sequence contains 18S rRNA gene, ITS1, 5.8S rRNA gene, ITS2, 28S rRNA gene". The stretch from base 630 to 783 matches the Rfam family "5.8S ribosomal RNA". The record is from RNAcentral. Lineage: Eukaryota; Fungi; Ascomycota; Eurotiomycetes; Eurotiales; Trichocomaceae.
GUACAAGGUUUCCGUCGCCUAAGUCAUGCGCUGGAAUGGAUGAUUCCUUCCGCGGUGUACACUUAUGGAAGCCUUUGCAGCCACGCAAGUGGUAGACCCGAAGCGACUGUAAACAAGUUUGGUGUCGUGAUGCAAGUCAGCGGUCCGCUGGCGACACUUUCGAAUUGACGGGGACACCCUAAAGCCGAUCGCACCAACCCGUGCGGGGAAACCUCACGGGGGCCUGUGGUAACGACACAGGGGACGGUAACAGACGAUCCGGAUAGUUCUGCCUGGCAGAGAGGAUGGGUAAUCCGCAGCGAAGCCCCUACGUCGCGCCCCCCUCCGGGGGCUCGAUACGGGGAACGUUCACAGACUAAGUGGAAGUGGGUGGGGUCCCCAGGCCUGGGACCCUGCUUAAGAUAUAGUCGGGCCACCUGGGAGACCAGGUGGGAAGUACACCGCUACGAACCGUUCCGUAGGUGAACCUGCGGAAGGAUCAUUACCGAGUGAGGGUCCCCUCCGGGGGGCCCAACCUCCCACCCGUGUCUACUGUACCAUGUUGCUUCGGCGGGCGCGCCCGUGCCCGCCGGAGACCCCUUGAACGCUGUUGUGAAUGAGGUUGUCUGAGUGAGAUUGCAAACUGUCAAAACUUUCAACAACGGAUCUCUUGGUUCCGGCAUCGAUGAAGAACGCAGCGAAAUGCGAUAAGUAAUGUGAAUUGCAGAAUUCCGUGAAUCAUCGAAUCUUUGAACGCACAUUGCGCCCCCCGGCAUUCCGGGGGGCAUGCCUGUCCGAGCGUCAUUGCCACCCCUCAAGCACGGCUUGUGUGUUGGGCCGCCGUCCCCCCCCCGACCCCGGGGGGGGACGGGCCCGAAAGGCAGCGGCGGCACCGCGUCCGGUCCUCGAGCGUAUGGGGCUCUGUCACCCGCUCCGGAGGCCUGGCCGGUGCCCGCCCACCCGUCGAUCUUUCCAGGUUGACCUCGGAUCAGGUAGGGAUACCCGCUGAACUUAAGCAUAUCA